GGGUAAGUUCCACAAGUGUUUUCACGUGGUUCACCGUUGGGCCGUUGCUGUGGCACUUCUGGCCCAAGUGUGCUACAGACAGGCCUAACCUUCACCCUGGUUUACAGGACAAGAAAUGCAGAACACACCUGAGCAUAACUGACAUUUUAAGCAUUGCUGACCUGAGGCUUGAGAGUGAGAUAGGAAGGCUUGCUGUUGUCAGCCUCUGAGGUGGUGGUAGGUUGCUUGUUAUGUAGAAUUAUCACAAAAAAAAGCCCUUUCAUGUUUGUUAUAUUUCCCAGGCUUUACAUAAUACUAAAAAUGUUAAUGAUUUUUGACAAAAUUAUAUAGCAUUUACUAUAAGACAAACAAUGUGGAAUGAUCUUAUGUCAUGCCUAGAAAGAAAAAUACAGUAUAAAAUAAGUUCAUUCAGGAUCCAUCCUCACAAUUCCUUAGGGUCUCAUUCUGAAAUAGGGAAUAUGCUUAUUAUACUUCAUUAUAUGACAAUCUCUGACAACUUAAAGUGAAACAAACAAAACGUACUAUGGUUUGAACUUCUUACAAAAUGCUAUCAUUUUGGAAUACAACAUUAUAGCCACAGGGUUCGAUAAUACUUUAAUAAACAUACAACUUCCUGUACUUCCAAAGAGAACACAGAAGACCAUAUAUUGAAAUAAAAUAGACCCUGGUCAGUCACUGUAACCCAGGAUAAAUAUCUUCUCUGAUUGUUUUUUAUGUGCUAUAGGAUCUGUGACACACUGAAUAUAUAAAGCACUUGAAAAAGAUGUGACUGUAAAAGAAAGCCAAAUAGGACCUCUGACACUGAUAAUGGAAACAGGCUAGUAAUUAAAGUUUGGAAAAGUAACUUUUAUGAGCAGCAAAGUUAUUGCAGAGGGAAGGACUUUCAUUUGUCCUCUUCAUGCACCAUAAGAGACAAAAAGCCUGACACACAAAUCAUGGCAGGUGAAGUGCAAGUAAGACUUCCCACCAGAUGGCUGUAAACAACUCGCAGAACCAGGCGAGCUAGACACAGAGUUUUCCCCACAAUAUAUGGCAGAUAUUUUUUUGCUAUGCCACAGGUAAACAAUGUAUACCCUAAAGCCAGUGAAGGUAGUACGAUAUUUACUAACAGAUGCCAAAGAACACAGACUCCAAGAUCCAUUGUUCCCCUAUGGUUAUAAAUGCAUCUCUUUACAAUAAUUCUGAGUGAUUUCAGCGAAAACACUUGAAAUCUUAUCCAGACAUAAAGCUGUAACACCAUGUGUCAGAGUAAACAACGUGGGCACAAAAGCCAGGAAAGAUAGUGUGUGUCAGCCAUAAAUAUAUCAGUGAAUGAAACCAAAAGGUCUCAUGCAUUAAAGAGGUUGUUAAUAAAUUCACAGGCUGAGAGCUGUAAUAAACAUAUCUUGGCAAAUUACAGUCAAGCCCUGCCCUAUAAAAUUGGGUAUAUAUGUAGAGUUUGGAUUUCAGAAGAUUUUCAGUGUGUCUCAUGGAAUCUUAAAUUGCAUUUAUGUAUCUCAUUUAUGGCUAUGCUUGUGAGUUCCUUGGGGACAGGGUAUAGAUCUUAUUCCUGUUUCUCUCUCUAAUUCUUACCUGCCAUCUACCAAUGCAAUAACUUUGUGAAAGAGAAGAUAAAAAGUUGAGUGGGAUGAAGGAGACAAAGAAAGAAGGAAAACCAGCCUAUUCAUCAUUUUCAGGCUGGAAUUUUCAAUCACAACAUCUCUGACUCUGCACCUUUGUAUCACCUUGCAGUGAUUCAGCAUCAUAGGCAGAGAAGUAUUUUUGGAAACCCUUCCUAUACCAAGCCACCAGGAGUAAUAUUACUAUACAUGGAACUGACUGAGAAAUACAUGGACAAAUCUCAGAGAACUCUAAAUAAAUGUAUCCUCAACUCAAGCUUUCUGAUAACUGAAUUUCCAAAAUGCUUAUGGUCACAUCAACACUGGAAGAAACAUAGCUAGCUACAGGAUGUGAAGAACAAGGAAUAAACCUUUAGUGUAUGGAAAUACUGAGGUUUGGUCAGUAACAGUGGAGUAAAAAAUAUCUUACUUUUGCAAAAUUUAUAAUAGAUUAUCAUAUGAGCAUAUUAAAAAAAAAUCUUAGGUCUAAAAUAAAAGCUUUGUAACAUA
This is a non-coding RNA of Ictidomys tridecemlineatus (thirteen-lined ground squirrel), 2108 nucleotides long. Lineage: Eukaryota; Metazoa; Chordata; Mammalia; Rodentia; Sciuridae. The record is from RefSeq and is a predicted model, not a curated record.